CUAUGUAUUACGGACAUUUUUAUGUGAUACUUUCUUGACAAUGUAAAUUUAAACAUUCGCUACGCAAACGUAAGCAAUGAUGGAAGCAACAGGAUUUUUGGGAAAUGCCACUGGUCUUCAAAUCAGCUGUUAUCAGAUGGUAGAUGAAUAAUGUGCUUUGUAGGAAUCGCAGUUUCAUGUUUCCACAAUAUGUAUAUCAACCUUUGAAGACAAAAAUACCAAUAGACAGAUAUUAUAUCAAUGUGUCAGUGUUUAUUGUAGUACCCAUAAUAUGGGAUAAUAACUCAUAUAACUCUUUCAUCAUUUCAUGAUUUGGGCCGAUUAUUGUGUGCAUAAACACAGUUUAAUAUUAUCGACAAAACACGAAAGCGUGAGUUGGAACCGGAGUUGUCAAAUCGAUAGAAAUACAUGAUAACGUCUUACUUUUAAGUUCUUUUUUCACGCAGUGGAAAGGAAAUUAAUUUAAAUGUUAUGUUUUGCCGAUUAAAAAUAAGUAAUUUUAUUUGGACACAACUUUUCUUUUAUUUCAUGCAAAUGGAUUCAAUCCAUCGGUCUGUCAUCUGUCAUUUGAGAUUGAAAAAAGAAAAAAUUCGGCCGUUUCACAUAAAUACUGGCAUAUUUUUUGUCACGCUCAGGACUAACAGGAAUUGUGUCGAAACCCCUGACCAAGUCAUUUUAUUUUGCUGUAAAUUUACGUUCACGCUUGCUAGAAUACAAACAAAAAAUGUUUUUGUUACCAUGGACGAAGGCAAUAAGAAGUGACCUCGAUCUUGUUAACUUCAAACAUUAAAAGUUCUGAUAUCAAAAUGUAAUAUAUCUACUUAAUAAAUACACUUGCUAUAUUUUGUACAUUCAAA
Drosophila biarmipes is the source of this 857-nucleotide long non-coding RNA. RefSeq lists it as uncharacterized. Lineage: Eukaryota; Metazoa; Arthropoda; Insecta; Diptera; Drosophilidae. The record is from RefSeq and is a predicted model, not a curated record. The transcript has 2 exons.